CGUGAGCCAUCGUGCCUGAAAUCGUUUCUGGAGACGGUGGCCACCAAAAUUAAAAAAUGACCACAUCACCAGCUCCAUCUCAAUCACCUGAUCAUGAAUCCACCCUUGAUUUUACCUAAUUCUUACCCUAACACCAAAACCGAAUCUAAAGCUCAAAGAACCCUAAAAGUUCAAUCCUAAGUUAAAUCUUACACGUGAGGAUUCAAAGCCCUCGGGGUUGGGGCUUUGAACCUCCUCUUUGUCCUCUACAUCUCAGUAACUGGAAAUGAAGAAAUGGAAGAUCUUGGAACUCACCAUGGACGGAGGAGGAUGAAGAUGAUGACAAACACCGGUGAACUCCUAUUUUUAGGGUCAAUUUGUAACAUUGUUUAUGUGUUGUUCUGAACUUGGUCAUGGUGUGCUAUUAUGUUUUGCAGAAUGGCUUGGUGGAUUACAAGCUUGUGGCUUCACUGACUUGUAGAUGCAUAUUGGUUUGCCUUUUGCAACAUGGAUCCAAUGGACUGCAUUGUGUAGGUCUUGUUUGGUGUGCUACAAUUGUUUUGUAUUCAUGCCUUGCAGGUAGGUUCUGACUUGGACUUGUAUUAUGGUGGCUUAGUUUCAAAGCAUGUUGAUGUGCAAGUAUGAUGCAUGGUUCUGGCUUAUGGUUUCACUGCAUUUUCAUUGUUUUGGAUUUGGUUCGCAACAUUGUUCACUUGGUAGCUAGUUUGUGUUCUACAGUAGGCAUUGUGUUAUAUAGAACUGUGCAUUUGGUUUCACUUUGGAUUGUUUUCUGCAGUCCUUGUUUGGUAUGCAUUUUGCAGGGUCUUUUUGGCUUGUACAUGAUAAUGCUUCCUUAUUCAGGUCCUUGGUUUUGCUUCUUGCAGCAUAUGUAUCAUAUGGCUCAUGUAUCAUAUGUAUGUCAUGGUUCCAUGGAGGCUUAUGGCAUGCUGGUUGGACAAUGCAAAUGACAUUAAGGUUGGAAUUUGAAGCAACAUGUACAAUUGGUCAAUCAAAGGUCAACAUGGAACAUGGAAAUUUAGGGUUAGAAUUAGG
Molecule: RNA transcript, 1032 nt
Organism: Lathyrus oleraceus (garden pea)
Lineage: Eukaryota; Viridiplantae; Streptophyta; Magnoliopsida; Fabales; Fabaceae
Exons: 3
Source: RefSeq, a predicted model, not a curated record